GCUGGCUGCUCACACAGUAAGGAAGAACUAUGCUUUCAGUCCAAGGAAGCGUCCACAUCUGUGACACUAACCUUUGCAGAUGACACUCACAUUUGCAGACAGGGUCCAGAAUCCAGGAGACCCACCUGUAGCUGCUUUGUCCUCCUCUCGCCUUCAUAAGGAGCUGAAACCAGGACAUGCGGAGCAGCUGAACAUCUGGAGAGGAGGGCAGGAUGUGACCCUGUAA
This 226-nucleotide long non-coding RNA is filed under the name Calidris pugnax (ruff). Its description in RNAcentral is "lncRNA (ENSCPUG00000002649.1)". Lineage: Eukaryota; Metazoa; Chordata; Aves; Charadriiformes; Scolopacidae. The record is from RNAcentral.